GCCCGGCUAGCUCAAUCGGUAGAGCGUGAGACUCUUAAAAAAAUGGGAUUCUCCGAUUUCAUCUCAAGGUUGUGGGUUCGACCCCCACGUCGGGCU
Cladorrhinum samala is the source of this 96-nucleotide non-coding RNA. Lineage: Eukaryota; Fungi; Ascomycota; Sordariomycetes; Sordariales; Podosporaceae. The record is from the annotation of a GenBank genome assembly.